This 497-nucleotide ribosomal RNA is filed under the name uncultured bacterium. RNAcentral describes it as "partial 16S ribosomal RNA". It matches the Rfam family "Bacterial small subunit ribosomal RNA", at positions 28 to 507 of the family's 1533-position model. The record is from RNAcentral.
GAUGAACGCUGGCGGCGUGCCUAAUACAUGCAAGUCGAGCGAACAGACGAGGAGCUUGCUCCUCUGACGUUAGCGGCGGACGGGUGAGUAACACGUGGAUAACCUACCUAUAAGACUGGGAUAACUUCGGGAAACCAGAGCUAAUACCGGAUAAUAUAUUGAACCGCAUGGUUCAAUAAUGAAAGACGGUUUUGCUGUCACUUAUAGAUGGAUCCGCGCCGCAUUAGCUAGUUGGUAAGGUAACGGCUUACCAAGACAACGAUGCGUAGCCGACCUGAGAGGGUGAUCGGCCACACUGGAACUGAGACACGGUCCAGACUCCUACGGGAGGCAGCAGUAGGGAAUCUUCCGCAAGGGGAGAAAGCCUGACGGAGCACCGCCGCGUGAGGUAUGAAGGUCUUCGGAUCGUAAAACUCUGUUAUUAGGGAAGAACAAAUGUGUAAGUAACUAUGCACGUCUUGACGGUACCUAAUCAGAAAGCCACGGCUAACUACGUG